GAUGAACUCUGGCGGCGUGCUUAACACAUGCAAGUCGAGCGAGAAGUUUUGAAAAGAUUCUUCGGAUGAAAUUUAAAAUGGAAAGCGGCGGACGGGUGAGUAACGCGUAGGCAACCUGCCCCAUACAAAGGGAUAGCAUUUGGAAACGAAUAUUAAUACCUUAUGAAACUUAACUAGUGCAUGCUAGGUAGGUCAAAGAUUUAUCGGUAUGGGAUGGGCCUGCGUCUGAUUAGCUAGUUGGUGAGGUAACGGCUCACCAAGGCGACGAUCAGUAGCCGACCUGAGAGGGUGAACGGCCACAUUGGAACUGAGACACGGUCCAAACUCCUACGGGAGGCAGCAGUGGGGAAUAUUGCACAAUGGGGGAAACCCUGAUGCAGCAACGCCGCGUGAACGAUGAAGGCCUUUGGGUCGUAAAGUUCUGUUCUAGGUGAUGAAAACUGACAGUAACCUAGGAGAAAGCCCCGGCUAACUCCGUG
Molecule: ribosomal RNA, 479 nt
Filed under: uncultured bacterium
Lineage: Bacteria
Description: partial 16S ribosomal RNA
Rfam family: Bacterial small subunit ribosomal RNA
Source: RNAcentral